GAUGAACGCUAGCGGCAGGCUUAACACAUGCAAGUCGAGGGGUAUAGUUCUUCGGAAUUAGAGACCGGCGCACGGGUGCGUAACGCGUAUGCAAUCUACCUUUCACAAAGGGAUAGCCCCAGAGAAAUUUGGAUUAAUACCUUAUAGUAAUACGACUUGGCAUCAAGAUGUAUUUAAAGAUUUAUCGGUGAAAGAUGAGCAUGCGUCCAUUAGCUUGUUGGUAAGGUAACGGCUUACCAAGGCACGAUGGGGUAGGGUACCGUGAGAGGGAGAUCCCCACACUGGUACUGAGACACGGACCAGACUCCUACGGGAGGCAGCAGUGA
This 326-nucleotide ribosomal RNA is filed under the name uncultured bacterium. Its description in RNAcentral is "bacterial SSU rRNA". It matches the Rfam family "Bacterial small subunit ribosomal RNA", at positions 28 to 357 of the family's 1533-position model. The record is from RNAcentral.